This 301-nucleotide ribosomal RNA is filed under the name uncultured bacterium. RNAcentral's name for it is "partial 16S ribosomal RNA". It matches the Rfam family "Bacterial small subunit ribosomal RNA", at positions 509 to 807 of the family's 1533-position model. The record is from RNAcentral.
CAGCCGCCGCGGUAAUACGAAGGGUGCAAGCGUUACUCGGAAUUACUGGGCGUAAAGCGUGCGUAGGUGGUGGUUUAAGUCCGUUGUGAAAGCCCUGGGCUCAACCUGGGAAUUGCAGUGGAUACUGGGUCACUAGAGUGUGGUAGAGGAUAGUGGAAUUUCCGGUGUAGCAGUGAAAUGCGUAGAGAUCGGAAGGAACAUCUGUGGCGAAGGCGGCCAUCUGGGACAGCACUGACGCUGAGGCACGAAAGCGUGGGGAGCAAACAGGAUUAGAUACCCCCGUAGUCCCUGUCUCUUAUAC